This 253-nucleotide ribosomal RNA is filed under the name uncultured bacterium. RNAcentral describes it as "partial 16S ribosomal RNA". It matches the Rfam family "Bacterial small subunit ribosomal RNA", at positions 524 to 776 of the family's 1533-position model. The record is from RNAcentral.
UACGAAGGGUGCAAACGUUGCUCGGAAUUAGUGGGCGUAAAGCGCACGUAGGCGGCUUUGCAAGUCCCAUGUGAAAUCCCACGGCUUAACCGUGGAAGUGCAUGGGAAACUGCAGAGCUUGAGUACUUAAGAGGAUCGCGGAAUUCCCGGUGUAGAGGUGAAAUUCGUAGAUAUCGGGAGGAACACCAGUGGCGAAGGCGGCGAUCUGGGAAGAUACUGACGCUGAGGUGCGAAAGCGUGGGGAGCAAACAGG